UACGUAGGGGGCAAGCGUUGUCCGGAAUCAUUGGGCGUAAAGCGCGUGUAGGCGGCUCGGUAAGUCCGCUCUGAAAGUCCAGGGCUCAACCCUGGGAUGCGGGUGGAUACUGCCGGGCUCGAGUCCGGAAGAGGCGAGUGGAAUUCCCGGUGUAGCGGUGAAAUGCGCAGAUAUCGGGAGGAACACCGGUGGCGAAGGCGGUUCUACUGGG
RNAcentral lists this ribosomal RNA (211 nucleotides) under uncultured bacterium. Its description in RNAcentral is "partial 16S ribosomal RNA". It matches the Rfam family "Bacterial small subunit ribosomal RNA", at positions 524 to 733 of the family's 1533-position model. The record is from RNAcentral.